CGGCUACUCCGUCACCGUCUAUGACCGAACCCCGUCAAAGGCCGCCCCUCUCCAAUCCAAAGGGGCCCAUCUGGCUCCCUCCGUCGCCGACCUCGCCCGUGCAAGUGAUGUCGUCUUCACGAUGCUGGGACACCCAUCAGAUGUUCGACAAAUUGUGCUAGAGAACCUUGUCCCUUCUCUCAAUCCCAACGGAGUCAUUAUUGAUCACACUAGCAGCCACCCCACCCUGGCUAAGCAGAUUUAUGAUUCUGCCCUUGAAAGACACUGCCACUCCGUUGACGCCCCAGUUUCCGGAGGCGACAUCGGAGCGAGAGAUGGCAAAUUGGCGAUAUUAGCCGGGGGAGAUGAGGAUGUUGUGAAGUGGUUAAAACCACUGUUUGAUGAAAUGGGGAGGGUGACUUAUGUUGGCGGCCCUGGGAAGGGACAGCAUUGUAAAAUAGCGAAUCAGAUAACCGCUGGGGCGAAUUUACUUGGGCUGAGUGAAGGGCUGGUUUUCGCGGAUAAAGCCGGUUUGGACAAAUUGAAGUUUGUGGAGGCUGUGAGAGGCGGUGCAGCUGGAUCAAUGGUGAUGGAGUUGUUCGGGGACAGGAUGAUCAAGAAGGACUUCAAGCCUGGUGGGGUCGCGGAAUAUAUGGUGAAGGACUUGGGAAUGGGAGUGGAUGUUGGGGAAGAGGAAGGGGGUGAAGUGGUGGUAUUGCCUGGCGCUGCAUUGACUAAACAAUUGUUUGCUUCUAUGGUGGCUAAUGGGGGUGGGAAGCUGGGCACCCAGGGGCUAAUAUCUGUCAUUGAGAAGAUCAAUGGCAGUUAAGAUAACAAAGUGAAAUCAUAGCCUCAAGCAAAUAUCAAGUUGAGGUUCUGUUUGCCAGGAUAGCACACUAGCUGAGCUUGUUUAUGUAAUGUAAUUUUAAUCUAAACCUCUACAAGGGCUCACGUAGCUUUUGAGGCUGGACGUGGUGAUGGCGUACAAACUGUAAAAUAAAACUCGGAGAAGGGGAAUAUGUGAUGGUUAAAAUUAGCGAUGUCUACGUGUUUGCUUUUCGGUUUAUAUCAGAUUAAAGUCGAAGUAGUGAAUUACAAUUGGGUGGCAAGAGAAGUUCUCGAGGCUUUCAUUCAUAUUCUUCAACUCAGAAAUUGAUCAAACCCAAAAGAACUACCAGUUAAAAGCGCAAAAGAAAAAAAAAAUACCCACGGAAUUACACUCCUCGAUUAUUUUGUAGUAGAAUUAUGGAAAAAUGGAGUACUUCGACCCACAAUUGAGGAAAAAAGAGAUUGAUUUUUAUUGAGUUAGUUGAAGAAGGGUUGAAUGUCAAAUGUGUACAUCCAAUUACCAAAAAAAAAAAAAAGAACCAUCUCUUCAAUUUGUUUUAUAUCUAUAUAUAUAACGAAAAUUGGGACCCUGACGAGUAUAAACCCGUUAAAUAAAAAAUCUUACACGACUUAAAUUUAACAUAAUAGAACGACCAUCUUCACUCUUCAAACUUCAAUACCUUUCUUUCUGACUCCAAUUUUUGUUGAAUUUGAUUAAUUUCUUGUUUGAAUAUGAAAUUGGUCAAAAAAUUAAUAGUUUAAAUACUAAAAAUCUUAUACUAAUAAGAAUGAAAUGUAUCCAUGACCCAAAGUUUAGGAAUAAAAAUUGGCCUUUUCCCCCCUUUAUUACUUUAGAAACCCCCUUACUUCACUCCUCAAGCUUCUCUUUAUUUCGUCAUUUGAGAUCUGACUGUUUUUGCCCUAUUUCUUUUUUUUUUCUUAUCAGAUAAAAUUAAUCUUUUUAGACGUGAACAAGUAGGUAAAAAUAUGAUUAAAAUCACAUAUGUCAAAAAACUUGAUAAUUAGAUUUUGGAGAGAAUAAUUAAAGCAGAUUAUAGCAAAUCAAAUUAAGUGGCCUCCCAAAGUUCAUUAGUCUUUAGAUACUUGUAUAUCUUUUUGUAGCCUUUGAGGUAGAAGUCCUCAAAGGCUAGGAGUCCUAGCCACCGGCCCUUUGGCCUGGUGAUCACUGCCAAACAUUUAAGUCUUGGUAGUGUUGGGAGGUCAAGGUUCAAAUCUUGCUUCCCACCAAAUUGUCAUUAUAGGUGGCUGCUUUUAGUGACUUUCUCCGAUGGAGUUUCUACUCUCAUCGGCUCCCCCUCCUUAAUUAAAAUAGAUUAGAUUAUAGGAAUAUUAUUUUUGCGAUUAAAAAAAAAAAGGUAGGAGUCCUCAAGUCCCAAUUCUCAACUGAUUCCUUUGGAGGAACAAAAUUUUUGCCCUUGCCAAUCUUGGUGUUGAAAAGUUCCACCAGCCCCGGAUCCACGUUGAAAGAAGCUUGUAGCACCGAGGGAUCCAUUGCUUUCCCAAACUGAUGUUUCCCCAGCUAGCUCAGCAAAAUAUGGCCUGUAACAAACAUACAUAAAUGAUAGUAGUAAAUAGUAAAUAAUAAGAAUCUCCAACAAUUACUCCUUUUUUUUUAAAUGAAAAUAAGGAUUGUGAUUUUUUGCAGAAAAAUUUUUAUACUUUCUGUGAAUACAUUUCUUAAUCACCUUUUUAUCUCACAUGUAUCAAAAUUGCUACAAUACAUUUUUCUUAAAAAAAAACUAAAAAUAAGAAUCCAAACGGAAUUAUUAUCCUAUCUUUUCUAUUUCUGUGUUAUAAAUAAUUAUCUCCACCCCUUAUAAAUACUUCACAACUAGCAUUCUUACCCGUGCUAUGCACAGAUUUAUAUUUCAAUUAAAAACAAUAAUAUAUACUUAUAUAUUAUAGUAUAGGAUGAAAUAUAUGAAAAAAGCAAAAUAAUUCAAAAAAGUGUAUACUUAACAUGUUAAAAAAAGUUUAUUUCGUAAGUACAAAAUGGACUUUCUUAAUUUUAAUAUCUUAAAUAAGUUGAAACCAAAAUUUGUUUACCUAUUGUCUGUCAAUAUAUGAUAACAAUUUGAGUAAAAUAAUUUAAUUUAUAAUGAUUUACACGAUAGAGCAAUUGUAAACCUAUUUAUCAAUAUAUCAUGUUAUACCCAUAUAUCAAAAUUUUUAAUAUUUAAAACAUAAAUUUUAACUAAUUCAUUUUCCUCAAUUUUAGAAUAUUUUUUUCUCCCAUUUUAUAAUCCUAAAAUUGUUGAGUGCUUAUAAAAUAUUGUUCUUCAUAAACUUUAAUAUAGAUUUUAAAAAAAUCUUUGUAAGAUGUGUUUUUAAAGUUUUCAAAAUUAUUAAAAACUAUCACAUUUUCCAUCCUCCCUUAUUUGCUAAUUGGCUAUCGGUUGCUUUUUAUGACUUUCAAAUCUCUUACCACAUUAUCAUCUUUUCUGUCAUGUCCCUAUAGUCCCCUUCUUUCUUCUCUUCUCUCUUCAUCCAACCUCGUUGUAGUUCAUCUUCUUUUUUCGUCAUUCUUUAACUCCUUACUAUUCCUUUUUUUCCCUCAUAGUUAGUCUCUAGCUUCCUAUCCUUGACUUCCAAUAUUUCUCUAUUAUAUUUCUCUAUUAUUCAAAAUAUAACUUAACAUAUGUUUAUGUUACACUAUUAUAAAGUUGUAAGGAUCGAAGACAACCAAUCGAAAAGCCAAUCGAUAAGCAAUUAAAAGAUCACAAAUGUAACAGUAAGUAAAAGGAAAGAAUUGCAAACCAAUUAACUACCCAGCUCCUCUUGAGCUUCAAACAAGCUACUUCAAAUUGAUGAAUUACAAUCACUCUUGUGUACAAAGGAAGGUUCACCUCCUCCUUGCCCCGAACUCCCUCGGUCAAGCCAGGACGUUUUACUAUCCCUCAGGACAACCCUCACAGAGCUACACUCAUGAAGUAUUCACUCACAAAUGAAAAGCUUACAAUGAACCUCACACCACUAAGACUACAAAUCUUCUUUGAAGAGUAUUUUCUCACUAAAAUCUCUCUAGAUCUUUUGUAUCUUCAGUGUGCCAAAGUUGUUUGAAGUAUCUGACCAAUCACUAUUUAUAUAGGACCAAGAAAGAGUCUCAUUAAAGCUUCCAACGGAUAGAAAGUAGCUGAAGAGUCAACUAGCCGUUGGAGUGUCGAACGUCCGAUAGCCCUGUUUUAUGCGUCCGACAGCAGGCAGUGAGUUUCAGAGAUUUUCUUCAAUUCUUUCGGACGUCCGGUGCAAGCUCUUUGUGCUUCCGACAGCAAACAAACAGAUUUGAGAAAUUAUCUUGUUUCUAUCGGACGUCCGGUAGAAACAUAUUCAGCGUCCGAUAGUUUCGUCGACUUCGAAGGAUCCUAUCGGACGUCCGAAGCAUGCGUCCGAAAUUGUGCAAUGAUUAUCGGACGUCCGAUCCUGACUUCUUGAGCGUCCGACAGCUUCAGCAUACUUUGUCAUCUUUCAAUUGUACUUGAUCUUUGGAACUAAUUUGCUUCAUAACUGAAUAGAUCUUUUAAGAGACAUUAGUAACAUCCAUUUGUUUUGUAAACAUCAAAAGAUAGGGAUCAAGAUCAACAAAAGUAAAUUUCACUGGUAAAAACACCAAAUUUAGUUAUUUUUCAUAUUAAAUUUGAAUUGAAUGAUUUCAAAUUUUCAAAGAAGAAAUAUUGUCAUUGAAUCUACAUUCAACCUCCAAAUUGAAGAGUUAAAUUUUGAAACAAAAAAAAUUCCAUAACUUGUAGUUUGGUUUUACGAUUUUAAAAUAUACUUAUAUUUGUACUUUCAAAAUAACUUUGAAAAGAUAAAAUUUGAAGCAAAAGAAAAAAAGAAAAUCAUAACCUUCAAUUUGAUUUAAUAUUUUUACAAUAUAUUAACUUUACCUCUCACAAUAUGAAAAGCAUAUAAAACUUAAGAUUGAUCACAAUAGUUGCAAGUAUUGACAUUUAAAAAUGCAAAUGAAAAACUGAUAAUAUCUUAUAAAACCUUAACUACUACAAAAAAAUAUAUAAAAAUGACUUAACAAUUGCAUAUUUACAUAUGAAGAAAACAAUAAAAAUACAUAAAAUAAUUAAUCAUACCCAAGAUGAUUCUUAGCAUUUGGGUUUUGCACUCUUAUUCAUAUUUAAUUAAGGUCAAAUUUGGAUCAAAUAUAUACAAAUUUAAUAGAUAUAUAGUUUAGGGUCAAAAGUUCUAUAUGGUUUCUUUAAAUUGCAUUGUUAUUCUUUUUUAUUUUUGGUAGAAUUGGUGUUGUUUUUAUUAUUGUUUUUCAUCAAAAAUAGAGAUUUCAAAUAAAAAUUUUCAUGUUGAAAUGCUAGUAGUACUUUGCUUUUUAUUUAGUAAUUUCAUAAUUUAGCGUUCACGAAUGGUACCAUUCUUGAUUUUUUUCGAUCCAUGACCGAUGAAUAUUAUUUUCUUUUUUGUUUUCUAUAUAAUUUGCCUUUUUAGUUAGGAUUACUAAGUUGAAGGAUAAAAUAUUGUUAUUUACUUUUUACUUUGAGUAAGUUUAGUGAUGUUUCCUCUUUAUUUACCUCAUAUUAAUAGAUUUCAAAUCAAAUUCCUAUAUAAGUGGAUCCACUUCUUACUUUUUAAAUUCAAAAGACAUGAAAGGAUAUAUAACAAUUAAAAAAUUUUAAAAUUCUAUAUAAAAAGGAAAAGAAUAAGGAGUUAGAAGUAUUCUGAUUUAAUCAUCAUAAAAACCCUCCCUACAAUACAUAUAGAUUAUUUUAAGUCUUUCUCCAAAACUUUACGAGCAACUAUCACCCAAAUAUGAAAGUAAUAAGCUAACCAUUAGUACUCGCCUUGUUUUGAGCACGAAAGAAGUUCAAAUCUUCCUUCCAUUUUCCUUUUAAUCUUCAUUUGCUCCUCGUACCUCAAUUAUUCAAAAAAAAAAUUAUAUAUGGCAACAAGCUCAAUUGAAGCGCCAAUACUUUUUUUGAUUCGAUUCUAAGUCCCAUAAUUAGUUGCUGCUAUGACAAUCACCGGUGUAGAGACUUAUUGCACUUCUGUUCUAUGAAGCUUAGAUUGCAAAAUAUUGAUUCAAAGACUUUUCUUCUUUAGACAAAUUAUUAUGCUUUUUAUCUAUUUGUAUUAAGUUGAUUUUAAACUCCAUUAUAGAUUAGAUUUAGAAGGCUAUUUUCAUAUUUUGGUGAAUCAUCGAGUUUUUGAUCCAAACACCAAAAACUCCAAACCGACUGCAUAAUCAUGAUUUUGAAAAUGUGAAGCUGGAUAUUCAAAUUAAAAAUGAAAAUAAGGAUCCGAAUGUAAAUAAUUAUACGAGUCCCAUGGUUUACUUGGUUAACUUUAAGGGAUAAUGUCAAAAACCUCCCCUGAGGUUCCUAAAAAUUUCACUGAGCUCCUUUGAGGUAUGAAAAAUUUCACAUACCUCCUUUGUCAUUUAAAAUGAUAAUUUUACCCUUAAAUAUUUUAAUGAAAUUCCCUUAUUUGGUAUGCUUAUACUUAGAAUGAGUUUUAAAAUUAUUUUUUUAUUCUUUUUCCAUCUCAUUCCUUUUUUUUUAAUUUGUUGCCAAUAAAACUGUAGAAUUACUAUUAUUACUUCUAGUUUUAUUUGUAACCAAAUAUCGAACUAGUGAUUUUUUUGACGAGUUAAUUUUAUAUAUAAUCAAAUGUUUUUACUGAUCUUUGUUUUCUAUUUUUUGGUAUUAAAAUUAACAAUAAAUAAAAAAAAUAGCCAAAAUCACUACCAAAUUAUAAUAAUCCCACUACCCGAAAAAUUCAAAAAUUCUAAAUGAAUUAUUUCAACAUUUUCUUUUCUAUCUUAUAAAUCUAAAUCCAUAAUAAAGUACCAUCAAAAGUAUCUUAUCAUAGUGAUAAAAUUAUUAUUAUAAUUGUUUAUUAAAUAGUAGGUAUAGACAUGAAAAAUUUGGCACAUUUUUCUUAUAAUUAUACUAGAUAAUCUUAUAAUUGUAUAGAAAAAUAAAUUAAAACUCAUUACACAUGGGCAUUUUUGGAUAUUCAUUUAAAAAAUUGACCAAGUCAAUAUUAUUUUAAGAUUUUGUUACUAAAACUAUCAAAUCAAGGGAGGUAAGUAUAGUUAAUCAAACCUCAAGGGAGCUCAGUGAAAUUAUCAGAAACCUCAAGGGAGGUUUCUGAAAUUAUCCCUAACUUUAAUCGCUUCUCUCAUUACUGAUCAAGCAUCUUUACACACUUCCUCCUGCAGUUCACUCUCAUAGUCUCAUUGCUAAAGGAUGAGGGCCCCCUUCCCGACAACCAUAACCCCGACCCAAACCCGAAUAGGCUGGGUAGGCAUAGGCGUGAUGGGCUCCGCCAUGGCCUCCCGCCUCCUCUCUGCCGGCUACUCCGUCACUGUCUAUGCCCGAACCCCGUCAAAGGCCGCCCCUCUCCAAUCCAAAGGGGCCCAUCUGGCUCCCUCCGUCGCCGACCUCGCCCGUGCAAGUGAUGUCGUCUUCACGAUGCUGGGACACCCAUCAGAUGUUCGACAAAUUGUGCUAGAGAACCUUGUCCCUUCUCUCAAUCCCAACAGCGUUAUUAUUGAUCACACUAGCAGCCACCCCACCCUGGCUAAGCAGAUUUAUGAUUCUGCCCUUGAAAGACACU
This 7407-nucleotide long non-coding RNA is filed under the name Coffea arabica (coffee). Its description in RNAcentral is "long non-coding RNA (CARA_LNC001681)". The record is from RNAcentral. Lineage: Eukaryota; Viridiplantae; Streptophyta; Magnoliopsida; Gentianales; Rubiaceae.